RNAcentral lists this ribosomal RNA (505 nucleotides) under uncultured bacterium. RNAcentral describes it as "partial 16S ribosomal RNA". It matches the Rfam family "Bacterial small subunit ribosomal RNA", at positions 28 to 507 of the family's 1533-position model. The record is from RNAcentral.
GACGAACGCUGGCGGCGUGCCUAAUACAUGCAAGUAGAACGCACAGUUUAUACCGUAGCUUGCUACACCAUAGACUGUGAGUUGCGAACGGGUGAGUAACGCGUAGGUAACCUGCCUGGUAGCGGGGGAUAACUAUUGGAAACGAUAGCUAAUACCGCAUAAUAUUAAUUAUUGCAUGAUAAUUGAUUGAAAGAUGCAACUGCAUCACUACCAGAUGGACCUGCGUUGUAUUAGCUAGUAGGUGAGGUAACGGCUCACCUAGGCGACGAUACAUAGCCGACCUGAGAGGGUGAUCGGCCACACUGGGACUGAGACACGGCCCAGACUCCUACGGGAGGCAGCAGUAGGGAAUCUUCGGCAAUGGACGAAAGUCUGACCGAGCAACGCCGCGUGAGUGAAGAAGGUUUUCGGAUCGUAAAGCUCUGUUGUAAGAGAAGAACGGGCGUGAGAGUGGAAAGUUCACACUGUGACGGUAUCUUACCAGAAAGGGACGGCUAACUACGUG